RNAcentral lists this long non-coding RNA (301 nucleotides) under Elaeis guineensis (African oil palm). RNAcentral's name for it is "long non-coding RNA (EGUI_LNC060314)". The record is from RNAcentral. Lineage: Eukaryota; Viridiplantae; Streptophyta; Magnoliopsida; Arecales; Arecaceae.
CCAGGCUGAAACCCUAGGGAACACACUAAAAACCCUGCGCCCAAUUUUCUUUCUUUUCUUUCUUUUUCUCUCGAAAAUUUUAGAUUUCCUACUCAUGCACAAGCAUUCCUCAUGCCCCACUUUCUCACUCAAAAAGUCUCUACGCACGCUCCACCUCCCUUUCUCUUUUAAAACAGUUCAAAACGUGUCUUAUCCGCGUGAGAGGAUAAAGAUAAGUGGUUGCACAUUUGAAUUCAAAUCAAAUUUGAAUUCAAAUGCAAACCAACUCAUCCCUAUCCACUUGGGCGUGAGAAGAGAAGGU